GUGUGAAAUGAUGGUACCAUCUUUCGGGACUGACUUGUCAUGGAGAUGUCUCUUUUUUUACUGAUCACGU
This is a small nucleolar RNA of Pygocentrus nattereri (red-bellied piranha), 70 nucleotides long. Ensembl annotates it as Small nucleolar RNA SNORD2. The record is from Ensembl. Lineage: Eukaryota; Metazoa; Chordata; Actinopteri; Characiformes; Serrasalmidae.